AGUAAUGGGGGUUUAGUUACAUUAUAUGAUCAUACAUUGCAAAGAUGGGGUACAUUAACGUUGUCGCAGGCUUAUGCAAUGUAUGAUAAUAUAAUGUAACUAAACCCCCAUUACU
Non-coding RNA from Pelobates cultripes (western spadefoot toad), 115 nucleotides. The record is from the annotation of a GenBank genome assembly. NCBI's taxonomy places the organism in Eukaryota, Metazoa, Chordata, Amphibia, Anura, Pelobatidae.